GUAAAACUUUAUAUAAAAAUAAUAUAUAUACAAUAAUAAUAAUGUAAUAUUAGAACCAAGAAUGUACAUAAAAAAAAAUUUAAGAUAAAUAUAUUAUAUAAUAAAAUAAAAGAAUAUGCACAUGAAAAUAAAAUGAAAACAAUGUGCAAUCAAUGAAAUAAUCCCCAAAAAUAAUAUGUACAAAUAAUAUGUUUUUUUUUAAAAAUGAAUGACUAAAAACCAAAUUGAAAGAAAAAUCAAAAUUAAAGGGAUAUUUUAUAAACCAAACAAAUUAUUAAAACAAAAUUGAGGGCCAAAAUAAAGCGCGCUCAAAUGUUCGAGGGUUAAAACCGAAAAUGCCCCAAAACCCAAAAGGCAACGUCCAGGUGAGGACCACAUUGAGUUUACGCGCAAAAUCCAGGAGCAAUUUUUAAAAACAAAUGAAAUUCAAACAGGGCCAAAUCAAAAGUCGGCACAAAGGGGAAGGACCAGCAGCAUAAAUUUCCCCUUUGAAGAGUAAAAGCGCGGAUCCGGGCCGUGGAGCGAGUUGGCGUGCGGAUCCCAUCCUUCCCCAAAUGGCGCCGUUUUGUUUGCCCUUUAAAAACUAAAAAAAAAAUUUGAAUGGCAUUUUGCCAUUUUUUUUGAAAAGAAACCCUAGCCCCUUUUUAUUUCUCUCCUAAUUUCUCUCCUUAGCCGACUUUAAUCCCUCCCUUUGAAUGCCGAUCCGCCACCAUAAACGACGUCCAACAGAUUCAGGCUUCGAGGGUCGACAUUCUUGGCUAUUCGUAAGAUAAAUCUUUCCCUUUUCUAUUUUCAAAUGCUUUAAAAAACCAAAUGAAAAAAAACAAAAGGAAAUAGAAUCAAAAGAAAACGUAAAAUCAAGGAAAGUUGAAUCUAAAAUCACCUUUUGAUUUCUUUUGCACUAAGAUCUUUUCUAUUGAUUUUUGGUGUGUAUAUCUGCUAUUAUAUCCGUAAAAAAAAACGUCCUUUUACAAUCGUUUUCGAAGGCUUUUAUAGCCCCUUUUUUUGCAACUGUUUUACACGUUUGUAGGUACAUGAUUGAGCACGUCACUGACGUGGCGUGGUGGAGCAGCGCACGUUGCGGAGAAGUGGCAUUCGGCGCUCGAGGGAGGUGUGAGCAGCCGACCUAGGUGCGGCGCACCUAAGGUUUUCUGCUUUUUUGAUGGUUGUGGGUUAGUGCUAAGUGGGCUGGGGUUUUGGGCCUAGGUUUUUUAGUUUUUGUGUUGGGUGUUUUGGGCUGUAAUUUAGACUUUGUUUUUAUUUGUUUUUUGGUUUAUGGGCCCCGAGCUAAAUUGGGCUCUACACUUGAAAUUUGUGGUCGAACCAAUUGAUUCUAUUUUCAAAAACAUAAAAAAUUCCAUGGAAGAGCAAUACAAUUUGAUUUGUUUUUUAUUUUUUCUUCUAUCUAUUACAUUAACAUUUCAUAUUUCUAUAAUAUAAAUUAUUAAUAUGUUUCAAUUAUAUAAAAAUUGUAAUAAUUUUAAACAUAUUUUAAUAAAAAAAAGAUAGGAUACUUGACUUCAAAACCGUA
This 1531-nucleotide long non-coding RNA is filed under the name Gossypium barbadense (sea-island cotton). Its description in RNAcentral is "long non-coding RNA (GBAR_LNC008940)". Lineage: Eukaryota; Viridiplantae; Streptophyta; Magnoliopsida; Malvales; Malvaceae. The record is from RNAcentral.